Molecule: ribosomal RNA, 495 nt
Filed under: uncultured bacterium
Lineage: Bacteria
Description: partial 16S ribosomal RNA
Rfam family: Bacterial small subunit ribosomal RNA
Source: RNAcentral
GACGAACGCUGGCGGCGUGCCUAAUACAUGCAAGUAGAACGCUGAAGGCGGAGCUUGCUUCUCCGGAUGAGUUGCGAACGGGUGAGUAACGCGUAGGUAACCUGCCUGUUAGCGGGGGAGAACCAUUGGAAACGAUAGCUAAUACCGCAUAACAGUUGAUGUUGCAUGACAUUUGCUUGAAAGGUGCACUUGCAUCACUACUAGAUGGACCUGCGUUGUAUUAGCUAGUUGUUGAGGUAACGGCUGACCAAGGCGACGAUACAUAGCCGACCUGAGAGGGUGAGAGGCCACACUGGGACUGGGACACGGCCCAGAAUCCUACGGGAGGCAGCAGUAGGGAAUCUUCGGCAAUGGACGGAAGGCUGAACGAGCAACGCCGGGUGAGUGAAGAAGGUUUUCGGAUCGUAAAGCUCUGUUGUAAGAGAAGAACGAGAGUGAGAGUGGAAAGUGCACACUGUGACGGUAUCUUACCAGAAAGGGACGGCUAACUACGUG